This 292-nucleotide unclassified non-coding RNA is filed under the name Hevea brasiliensis (rubber tree). The record is from RNAcentral. Lineage: Eukaryota; Viridiplantae; Streptophyta; Magnoliopsida; Malpighiales; Euphorbiaceae.
GGCUAGUUGGUGUCAUUCCUGAUAAGUUCACUUUCCCUUGUGUGCUUAAGGCUUGUAAAAAUGAAGUAGAUGUGAAAAAGAUUCAUGGGUUAGUUUUUAAACUUGGGCUAGAAGUUGAUUUGUUCAUUGGCAGUGCAUUGUUGCACAGUUAUCUGAUGUAUAGGAUGGUGGAUUUCGCAUUAGAUGUGUUUGAGGAUUUGCCGGAGAGGGAAGAUGUUGUGCUUUGGAAUGCCAUGAUCAAUGGCUAUGCUCAAACAGGUGGGUUUGGUAGUGCUUUGAUGGUUUUUAGGUG